GGGCCUGCACAAGCGGCGGAGCAUGCGGAUUAAUUCGAUGCAACGCGAAGAACCUUACCAAGGCUUGACAUAUAGAGGAAAAGUGUAGAAAUACACUCCCCGCAAGGUCUCUAUACAGGUGGUGCAUGGUUGUCGUCAGCUCGUGUCGUGAGAUGUUGGGUUAAGUCCCGCAACGAGCGCAACCCUCGUCCUAUGUUGCCAGCACGUAAUGGUGGGAACUCAUGGGAUACUGCCGGGGUCAACUCGGAGGAAGGUGGGGAUGACGUCAAAUCAUCAUGCCCCUUACGGCCUGGGCUACACACGUGCUACAAUGGCUAGGACAGACGGCUGCAAACCAGCGAUGGGAGCUAA
Molecule: ribosomal RNA, 351 nt
Filed under: uncultured bacterium
Lineage: Bacteria
Description: bacterial SSU rRNA
Rfam family: Bacterial small subunit ribosomal RNA
Source: RNAcentral